UACGUAGGGAGCAAGCGUUGUCCGGAAUCAUUGGGCGUAAAGCGCGCGUAGGUGGCCUCAUAAGUCCGCUGUGAAAGUCAAAGGCUCAACCUUUGAAAGCCGGUGGAUACUGUGGGGCUAGAGUACGGAAGAGGCGAGUGGAAUUCCUGGUGUAGCGGUGGAAUGCGCAGAUAUCAGGAGGAGCACCAAUAGCGAAGGCAGCUCGCUGGGACGUUACUGACACUGAGGCGCGAAAGCGUGGGGAGCGAACAGG
This 253-nucleotide ribosomal RNA is filed under the name uncultured bacterium. RNAcentral's name for it is "partial 16S ribosomal RNA". It matches the Rfam family "Bacterial small subunit ribosomal RNA", at positions 524 to 776 of the family's 1533-position model. The record is from RNAcentral.